CAUCUAGGCGGUCAAUCAAGUCGAAGGUGAAAACUCGUGGCUCAACCAUAAGCUUGCCUACGAAACUGAUUAACUAGAGUACUGGAGAGGUGGACGGAACUACACGAGUAGAGGUGAAAUUCGUAGAUAUGUGUAGGAAUGCCGAUGAUGAAGAUAGUUCACUGGACAGAAACUGACGCUGAAGUGCGAAAGCUAGGGGAGCAACA
This 206-nucleotide ribosomal RNA is filed under the name uncultured bacterium. RNAcentral describes it as "partial 16S ribosomal RNA". It matches the Rfam family "Bacterial small subunit ribosomal RNA", at positions 568 to 773 of the family's 1533-position model. The record is from RNAcentral.